GCGGCGGAAUCUGAUUUUGAUGGCAUAGGAUCACCUGCUUGAUUGUUGAAUGGACUCUGUUCUAUAAGCUCAUUUGGCUUUGGAUUAAACUUUAGUAGUCUUUCAAAAUCUUUAGCAUUGCCGGUAUCAAUGACCAAUUUAUUGAGUUUUUGCUCUUGUUGUAAUGCUUCUAGCUUUCGCUGUAGUGCUUCAUGCUCCGC
This 200-nucleotide unclassified non-coding RNA is filed under the name Hevea brasiliensis (rubber tree). Lineage: Eukaryota; Viridiplantae; Streptophyta; Magnoliopsida; Malpighiales; Euphorbiaceae. The record is from RNAcentral.